AAUGACUCUCGGCAACGGAUAUCUCGGCUCUYGCAUCGWUGAANWAACGCAGCRAAAUGCGAUACUUGGUGUGAAUUGCAGAAUCCCGUGAACCAUCGAGUCUUUGAACGCAAGUUGCGCCCGAAGCCAUUAGGCCGAGGGCACGUCUGGCUGGGUGUCACACAACG
RNAcentral lists this ribosomal RNA (167 nucleotides) under Macrolobium machaerioides. RNAcentral's name for it is "5.8S ribosomal RNA". It matches the Rfam family "5.8S ribosomal RNA". From Rfam's summary of the family: 5.8S ribosomal RNA (5.8S rRNA) is a component of the large subunit of the eukaryotic ribosome. It is transcribed by RNA polymerase I as part of the 45S precursor that also contains 18S and 28S rRNA. The record is from RNAcentral. Lineage: Eukaryota; Viridiplantae; Streptophyta; Magnoliopsida; Fabales; Fabaceae.